This 253-nucleotide ribosomal RNA is filed under the name Nitrososphaera sp. RNAcentral describes it as "partial 16S ribosomal RNA". It matches the Rfam family "Archaeal small subunit ribosomal RNA", at positions 474 to 727 of the family's 1478-position model. The record is from RNAcentral. RNAcentral also lists the same sequence under 2 other names. Lineage: Archaea; Thermoproteati; Nitrososphaerota; Nitrososphaeria; Nitrososphaerales; Nitrososphaeraceae.
UACCAGCACCCCGAGUGGUCGGGACGAUUAUUGGGCCUAAAGCAUCCGUAGCCGGUCAUGCAAGUCUUCCGUUAAAUCCAGCCGCUCAACGGUUGGGCUGCGGAGGAUACUACGUGGCUAGGAGGCGGGAGAGGCAAGCGGUACUCAGUGGGUAGGGGUAAAAUCCUUUGAUCCAUUGAAGACCACCAGUGGCGAAGGCGGCUUGCCAGAACGCGCUCGACGGUGAGGGAUGAAAGCUGGGGGAGCAAACCGG